CCUACGGGAGGCAGCAGUGAGGAAUAUUGGUCAAUGGACGAGAGUCUGAACCAGCCAAGUAGCGUGAAGGAUGACUGCCCUAUGGGUUGUAAACUUCUUUUAUAUAGGAAUAAAACAGGGUAUGCAUACCCUCUUGUAUGUACCAUAUGAAUAAGGAUCGGCUAACUCCGUGCCAGCAGCCGCGGUAAUACGGAGGAUCCGAGCGUUAUCCGGAUUUAUUGGGUUUAAAGGGAGCGUAGGUGGGUUGUUAAGUCAGUUGUAAAAGUUUGCGGCUCAACCGUAAAAUUGCAGUUGAAACUGGCAGUCUUGAGUACAGUAGAGGUGGGCGGAAGUCGUGGUGUAGCGGUGAAAUGCUUAGAUAUCACGAAGAACUCCGAUUGCGAAGGCAGCUCACUGGACUGCAACUGACAUUGAUGCUCGAAAGUGUGGGUAUCAAACAGGAUUAGAUACCCUUGUAGUC
This 460-nucleotide ribosomal RNA is filed under the name uncultured bacterium. Its description in RNAcentral is "partial 16S ribosomal RNA". It matches the Rfam family "Bacterial small subunit ribosomal RNA", at positions 338 to 795 of the family's 1533-position model. The record is from RNAcentral.